RNAcentral lists this ribosomal RNA (784 nucleotides) under uncultured bacterium. RNAcentral's name for it is "bacterial SSU rRNA". It matches the Rfam family "Bacterial small subunit ribosomal RNA", at positions 706 to 1501 of the family's 1533-position model. The record is from RNAcentral.
ACUCCGAUUGCGCAGGCAGCUUACUAAACUACAACUGACGCUCAUGCACGAAGGCGUGGGGAUCAAACAGGAUUAGAUACCCUGGUAGUCCACGCAGUAAACGAUGAUUACUAGUUGUUUGCGAUACAAUGUAAGCGACUGAGCGAAAGCGUUAAGUAAUCCACCUGGGGAGUACGUUCGCAAGAAUGAAACUCAAAGGAAUUGACGGGGGCCCGCACAAGCGGAGGAACAUGUGGUUUAAUUCGAUGAUACGCGAGGAACCUUACCCGGGCUUGAAAUGCAUCCGACCGGCGCCGAGAAGCGCCUUCCCUUCGGGGCGGAUGUGUAGGUGCUGCAUGGUUGUCGUCAGCUCGUGCCGUGAGGUGUCGGCUUAAGUGCCAUAACGAGCGCAACCCUCAUCAUUAGUUACUAACAGGUCACGCUGAGGACUCUAAUGAGACUGCCAUCGUAAGAUGCGAGGAAGGUGGGGAUGACGUCAAAUCAGCACGGCCCUUACGUCCGGGGCGACACACGUGUUACAAUGGGUGGUACAAAGGGCAGCUACAUGGCGACAUGAUGCCAAUCUCCAAAACCACUCUCAGUUCGGAUCGGAGUCUGCAACUCGACUCCGUGAAGCUGGAUUCGCUAGUAAUCGCGCAUCAGCCACGGCGCGGUGAAUACGUUCCCGGGCCUUGUACACACCGCCCGUCAAGCCAUGGAAGCCGGGGGUACCUGAAGUCCGUAACCGUCAAGGAGCGGCCUAGGGUAAAACUGGUAACUGGGGCUAAGUCGUAACAAGGUAACC